Molecule: long non-coding RNA, 1003 nt
Organism: Oncorhynchus keta (chum salmon)
Lineage: Eukaryota; Metazoa; Chordata; Actinopteri; Salmoniformes; Salmonidae
Exons: 3
Source: RefSeq, a predicted model, not a curated record
ACCAGAGCCCUUUGGCUAAUGGCACCCUAUUCCCUUUGUAGUGCACUACUUUUAACCAGAGCCUAUAGGGUAGGAGUCCACUCUGUGAAAUAGGGUGCCUUUUGGAAUGCUGCCAGUGUGUUUCUAAACCAUCAACGCUUGGGCUUGUCCCAAAUUACACCCCAUUUCCCAAGCUAGUGCACUACGUGGGGGGAGAGGGGCGUUAGGGUGUGGUUUGGGACUCCUUGUGUUUUUAUCUGUAAAGGUGUAUAUUUUAAAGCUAGAUGGCUGAGUCCUGUGAGGGCUGUCAUGUUGUUUUCCAGACAUCUUCUCCAGGAGACGCUUCAUGUCUAUUAUCCUGUUCAACUGCCUCUGGCUGUUUGUCCCAAUGGGCACCCUAUGUAGUGUGAUACGUUUGAACAGGGUUCAUAGAGUUCUGGUCAGAAGUAGUGCACUAUAUAGGGUAUAGUGUGCCCUUUGGGACAUAGCUUCUUACUUAUGUCCAGCCCUACACUCUAGGUUGAACCCUAACCCCUACACUCUAGGUUGAACCCUAACACCUACACCCUAGGUUGAACCCUAACCCCCUACACUCUAGGUUGAACCCUAACCCCCUACACUCUAGGUUGAACCCUAACCCCUACACCCUAGGUUGAACCCUAACCCCCUACACCCUAGGUUGAACCCUAACCUCCUACAUCCUAGGUUGAACCCUAACCCCCUACACUCUAGGUUGAACCCUAACCCCCUACACCCUAGGUUGAACCCUAACCCCCUACACUCUAGGUUGAACCCUAACCCCCUACACUCUAGGUUGAACCCUAACCCCCUACACUCUAGGUUGAACCCUAACCCCCUACACUCUAGGUUGAACCCUAACCCCCUACUGUAGCUCAGUUGGUAGAGCAUGGCGCUUGUAACGCCAGGGUAGUGGGUUCGAUUCCCGGGACCACCCAUACGUAGAAUGUAUGCACACAUGAUUGUAAGUCGCUUUGGAUAAAAGCGUCUGCUAAAUGGCAUAUAU